This 406-nucleotide ribosomal RNA is filed under the name uncultured bacterium. Its description in RNAcentral is "partial 16S ribosomal RNA". It matches the Rfam family "Bacterial small subunit ribosomal RNA", at positions 30 to 526 of the family's 1533-position model. The record is from RNAcentral.
AUUGAACGCUGGCGGCAGGCCUAACACAUGCAAGUCGAACGAGUGGCGGACGGGUGAGUAAUGUCUGGGAAAUUGCCUGAUGGAGGGGGAUAACUACUAGAAACGGUAGCUAAUACCGCAUACCAUCGGAUGUGCCCAGAUGGGUUUAGCUGGUAGGUGGGGUAAAGGCUCACCUAGGCGACGAGCCCUAGCUGGUCUGAGAGUAAGACCAGCCACACGGGAACGGAGAGACGGUCCAGAUUCCUACGGGAGGCAGAAUUGGGGAAGAUUGCACAAUGGGCGCAAGCCUGAUGCAGCCAUGCCGCGUGUAUGAAGAAGGCCUUCGGGUUGUAAAGUACUUUCAGCGGGGAGGCGUUACCCGCAGAAGAAGCACCGACUAACUCCGUGCCAGCAGCCGCGGUAAUUC